AACGAACGCUGGCGGCAGGCCUAACACAUGCAAGUCGAGCGAGGACUUCGGUCCUAGCGGCGGACGGGUGAGUAACGCGUGGGAACGUGCCCUUUGCUUCGGAAUAGCCCUGGGAAACUGGGAGUAAUACCGGAUGAGCCCUUUGGGGGAAAGAUUUAUCGGCGAAGGAUCGGCCCGCGUUGGAUUAGGUAGUUGGUGGGGUAAUGGCCUACCAAGCCGACGAUCCAUAGCUGGUUUGAGAGGAUGAUCAGCCACACUGGGACUGAGACACGGCCCAGACUCCUACGGGAGGCAGCAGUGGGGAAUCUUAGACAAUGGGGGAAACCCUGAUCUAGCCAUGCCGCGUGAGCGAUGAAGGCCUUAGGGUUGUAAAGCUCUUUCAGCUGGGAAGAUAAUGACGGUACCAGCAGAAGAAGCCCCAGCUAACUCCGUG
RNAcentral lists this ribosomal RNA (433 nucleotides) under uncultured bacterium. RNAcentral's name for it is "partial 16S ribosomal RNA". It matches the Rfam family "Bacterial small subunit ribosomal RNA", at positions 29 to 507 of the family's 1533-position model. The record is from RNAcentral.